AUAUGACUAAUAGCCUUAUUUUAUGUCAUGGUGAAUAUAUUUAAACUAAAAAAAUGAGCUUAUGGAAUUUUGUUAAUUUAUUUAGUAUUUAAUUUUGAGUUUAAUUGAUAUGCACCGACGGUGCAAAAUAAUUUUACACGAUUGUCCAAUAAACAACAACCAUUUUGCCAUGUCAUAUCAAGAAAGUGGGGUGAAGUGGGGUGAUGUGACGGAAAACAUGGUUGGUAUUGAUCGACGGUGUAAAAAUAUUUUACACCGUCAGUGUAUAUAAAUUAAAUCCUUUAAUUUUUUGUUUCAUUUUAUAAGUUUCAUGUUUUUUUUAAAGAUAAGUUAAGUCAUAUAGUUCGACUAUUGAUCCGAUUUUAUAAUUUUAUCAUAACGACCUGUUCAUUUUAUCGGUUUAAUCUGAUUUAAUCCGGUUUGUCAUGCGGUUCAACUUGUGACCCAGUGGUUCAACUAAUGAACCAGUAACUCAGUACCCUCAUCGAUUCGAUGAUCGGUUCGGUUUUUAAAACACUGCUUAAAUAUACUUGACUCAAAAAAAAAUUACUUAAAUAUACGAUUUUCUCAAAAUUAGAAUAUGUUUGUCAAAAAAAAAAAAUUCACUUGUAGAAUUAAGUUUCACUUGUAGAAUUAAAUUUUUUCUUGGAAGAAAACUUGUAGAAUUAAACUUAACUUCCAAAAGAUUAUUUAAGCAAGGGUAUAAUUGGUUUUUUCUACCUUUUCCCUUUGCUAACCCUAGCUGUUUGCUUCACCAUAUCGUAAAUCAUCC
This 772-nucleotide long non-coding RNA is filed under the name Trifolium pratense (red clover). Its description in RNAcentral is "long non-coding RNA (TPRA_LNC008753)". The record is from RNAcentral. Lineage: Eukaryota; Viridiplantae; Streptophyta; Magnoliopsida; Fabales; Fabaceae.